CACAGCUCCAGACUACAGGGACCACAUCACCAGCUGAUACAAGGUGAGGUCACGCCUUGGCAUCUGCAGAGCACCUUGAGACCUUCACAGGAGCCUGACCUUCCAGCUAGAGUUCAGUAACCCCCUGGAGAAAGCCCUUCCACCCCAGGCUGCAGCCAUUGGCAAAACCUGAUCAACUUCACGUAGUAAGACCCAGGACAGAGAACCAGACAACCUAUCCUGUUCCUG
RNAcentral lists this long non-coding RNA (228 nucleotides) under Taeniopygia guttata (zebra finch). RNAcentral's name for it is "lncRNA (ENSTGUG00000022173.1)". The record is from RNAcentral. Lineage: Eukaryota; Metazoa; Chordata; Aves; Passeriformes; Estrildidae.